UGUGUGUGCCUGUGUGCAUGUGUGUGUGCAUGCAUGUGUGCACACGUGUGCCUGUGUGUGCAUGUGUUGAAUUUCCGGUGAAAACUCUGCAUCCCAGAAUUUAUUGUCCCCAUGAUCUCAGGGCCACUCAGGGGUGUGUAGAAGGCCCUGGCCCCGAGCCCUGGUGGGGGCUCCAUCGUGGCACCAUGGGGUCUCCGGAGCCUGGGGGUCCCUCUCUCCCAAUGCACUCGCUUGGUGGCAAAUGGCUGGGAGCGGCAUUUCUGUCCUGGCCGGGGAGCGCUUGAAUGCGCUGAGCAAUGGGGGAGAUAAGCGUGUGAGGUGUUGUUCCGGGAGCAACCUGGUGAUAGGAGCCGUGUCUCCGCCUGGCUGGAGAACAGGGCCUGAGGACUGGACAAGUGGGCGAUUGUCCCGUCUCAUGCCCAUCGCUGGCCCUGCCCUCUACAUCCAUCUGUGUGGCCUGGCCCUGAACAGCGGUCACUCUGGGCCUGGUGUGGCUGUGAAGUGGGAGCACAGGGUGGGCCCCGGGUCCCAGCUUCCCGGCUGAACUGUGAGGGUGGGCGCUGUCUCCUAGACCCGAGGGGCUCCCUGGACAGGUGUGAGCAGACCUUCGCUCGGGCUUGAGGCCUUCGCCCCUGCAGGUGUCUCCAGGAGGCUUCCCUCACAGGAGGCUGAGGCCCUGGGUCUGCUGGGACUCGUAUUCACGGAGGUGCUGGGAUGGACCUGCUGGUGGCCCCCCGCCCCUCGGCCAGCCCCUUCCCCGCCUCUGCCCUGCUGGGCCCUGUGGUCAGGUGUGACGUCCCCUGGAGGAGAACAGGUGGGGCUUCACCCCCAGAGGCUUGGCAGCCGGUCCCCAUCAGAUCAAAGCACUGAAAGCUGUGGCUUUGGGGAGUGUUCGGGAAAGAUUUCAAGCCCGGGAGUGGGCACGCGCCCAGGCUCGGAUCCCUGCCAUAUCCCGUCCGAGGCGCGGGCCCAGUGCUGGCUGGCAGAGCUCAGCAUGGCCAGCCAGUGCCCAGGUGCAUGCCCGAGGGGGCGCGCCACGGCUUCCUGUUGAUCCGGAUGCCCGAUGUCUUGGGAGGCACUGACCCUGUUGGCACAGGUCCUGGAGCCCACUGCUUGGGGAGGUGGUGGGAACCCCGAGACCCUGGGGACAGAGUGGCUGGAUGCAAAGUCCCCCAAGGGGAAGGGGGAUGGCAGGGAAGGGGCGUCAGGCCUUGGGGGAGGUCACCUGCCCCACCCUCCCUCCAAGGCCCUUGUGUGGCUGGGUGGGGCUGGCCCUGGGUCUUCUCCCUCUCCCCCGUCCCUGAGCGUCACUGGUGACCUCCCCGUGGGCUUGUCCAGUUUGCCAGUACCCUGUGGUUUCCUGCGGUUUUACCUCCUGAGCAUGUUGAAACACUCCUAGUCCAGUUCCUGCCUGUAGCCACCCCCAUCGAAUCUGGCCUGCUGUGGCCCCCACCCUGCAGCCACGCGUGUGUGGUGCCCACUCAUUGUCUCCAGCACCUCAGAGGAGGCCCUGCCUGGCUCCAACACUCCCUGACCUCUGGCCUCUAUUCCCCUCCUUGGCCAACUCUGCUACUCCACCAGCCUUGCAGACCCCCCACCUCAGCUGCUGGAGUCCACCCUGCUGGAGGUAGAAACAGAGCCAGCUGCGUGCCACAGGUGAGGGCCUUCCCCAGGGCCUGGGGAGGGGCAGCAUGACCCCGGGAGGGCAGCUGCAAGGGCCGGGCAGUGCAGCUCACCCGGGCGACCACCAGCCCACCCUCCUCAGUGAGACCCCACAGCCCCUGUCCAGUGAUGUUCGAGGGCCAGGGCUCCCCGGGCAUCCACCUGUCUGCACUUUCAGACUUGACUGCUUGGUGCCUGGGCUGGGAUCUGGGGGCACUGCCCCUCCCCGUAUCCCUGGGACCCCCUUCAGGAGCCGGACACUCGGGUGCACACAGCUCCCACCCCCAGCCCAGCCCCAGCCCUGUGCUGUCCGCUGCCCACAGUCCACUGUGUGGCUUCGAGUGGACCAAAGGUCUUGUCUGGCUGCAGGAGGGGCCCUGGUAGUUGCUGGGCCUGGAGGUCGCUAGGAUGCUGGGCCUGGAGGUGGCUGGGAUGCUGGCCUGGCCCCCACGUCCAGGGCGGGUUGAGGAGUGGCCAGCAGGAGCCACUGCCUGAGGCUGGGCUCAGCCCAGGCCAGUAGACUCACGUUCCAGAAAGGGCUGGGGAACUUGCCACCUGCCCUCCUCCAGAGACGGGCCCUUGUCCUUUUUGUCUACUUAUGCCUCGUGCAGGAAGCAGGUCAGGGUGGGCCGGGGCCCUCAGGAGCAGACGCGUUUCAGCUGGGGGCGGGGGCAGGAUACGGGCUGCUGGGGCCAUUGAGGCAGCACCACAGGAGGGGUCCUGGCCAGGCCACCCCUCCCUCCAGGUGGGAGCUUAGCUGGGGCGGGACCCCCACCUCCCUGGGUGAGCACUGCCGGCCGGUAGCCUUGGGCAGGCACCCAGGAGAGGCCCCUGGCCUGAGCUCCUCUCACACCUGACUUGCGUACCUCUAAGCCCCGGGGUAGGUCCACCUGGCACCCCAAAUGCCUUCUCCCCUUUUCCCAUCCCAUGGGAGGUGGCUGUGUGCCACAGGUGAGGGUACAGAGCCCCCAGCUGCUCCCUGGGAGGAGCAGGGCCUGUCAGACCCGCCCCGAGAGUUUCACCCCCUGCCGUGGGGCCCUGAGCAGGCCCUCGCGGGACAGGGCCUUCCGUGCCGGGGUGACUGUGCCCCACCAGCCCCGAGGGGAAGACCAGGAUCCUGAGGGCUGGGCUGCACCUCCGACGUCCUGGGGCAGAUGUCCAUGCAUUGCCAACUCCAGGCCUGAACCCAAGGCACCCUCAUCUGAGCACCCACAGGGAGAGGCUGCCAGGACGGCUGGGUGUCCAGCCGACUGCCCCGCCCGGGCUCUGGAGCUGAUAACCAGCGGAUGAGGAGUGAAAUGCAAACAGAUAAGAAAAGCUCCAGGUGUUGCAGCCAGACCCGAGUCUCUCUCAGGAAUCACGUCCAGGGCCCUUCCCAGGCAGUGGGACAUGCAGUGGGGGCAGCUACUGAGGCCCAGGCCUCCAGUGGGUGCCCACGUGCAGCCCCCGCCAUGGGGUCACCCUGGGGUAAGGAUCUCUCCUCCCCUGCUCACCUUCUGCUGGGGCUUGGCAUCCCUGGGAUGAAGGUGGCACCCUUGUGGCCUGGGCCUUGCCGGCCCACAUCAGCCCCCAGCCCUCUGCUCCUUGGCCUCACCCGCAGUCUGCAGAAGGUAGGUGAGUUUCCUGGUGAUAAUAUAAUAAUAGCAAUGAUGAUCAUGAUGAUUAUGGCAAUAACAAUUAUGACAGUCAACACUGCCACGUGCCGGGCUCUGGCCCUUUGCAUGUCUGGGCCAGCUGUGCAAGGUACUGCUGGGGCUCCCAGGCUGGGAGUCAGGGACAGGCACUGCCACAGCACCCAAGGGGCCCCCGUGCCACCCCAGCGCCUGCUGACCCUGAACCAGCUGCUCCGUGAGAGCUUUUUGCCGACUCUUCCGCUUGGCAGCAUUUUAAUCUGAUGCAAGAGCCUUGUCGCUUCCUCAAAGCCUGUGUCUAUGGCCGUGGGCAGCUGCCCGUCCCCGUGUAGGCAGAGCGGCGUCAUGCCCUGUGGCCGCAGGUCCGGCUCUGGGGUUCUGGCUGGAUGGGGCCUGGAACCUUCUGGGAGUCACCACUGACUGGCUGCAGCCACCGGCUCCCCAGCAAGGACGUCCCUUCUGCAGGAAAAUGGGGACGUCUGGAGCAUUCUCUGGACAGCAGGAGAUGCACGUCAGCAGGCUGGCCCCGCCUCUUCCCUACCUGGAGUGACGCAGCGAUGCCCUAGACACCCGGGGAGAGGUGACCCCCAGCAGGAAGCUGGGCCUGGUUUCUGUCCCUCCACAGCCACAAGGCCUGGCCAGGACGCCGGGAGCACCACACCCUGGAGACUCAGCUCACCGAGGACUCGGGCGGGGGCUUCCCCGGCGCCUGGGAAGCUGGGUUCCCCACCCCCUGGACUUCCACCCCGACAUCAUCUCAAGCCAGGUCUGCCUGCAUCUCCUCAUCACUGCCCUGGGUCCUCCGUCGCAGCUGCUGUGUCCCAGGCCCCACAGCCGCUGCCCUUGGCCCACCUUCUAUGUGGCCCAUUAGAGGGGUGUGGGGGCUGCAACCUGCUUCUGCUGAACCCCCGGGCCUGCCAGGGGGCAUCAGGAUUCUGCACAGAGAGGCAGGGGUCCUGGCCAGACGUGCAGGUCCCCAGGUACCUAAUUCAGGGCCUUGGGCCGAGGACUGCGUAUUAUCCUGGCCCAGGCGACUCUGGGGGUGUCUGAGGGGUGGUGAGACUUCUAGGCAGAUUGUCCCUGCCCCACUCUGCUCUGCCCCACCCUGGCUGGCCCUCCUGGCUUCUCAAGGUGCUCCUGGCCACGAUGGCACAGUCCCCCAGGCCCAAAAUGUGCCCCUAUGCUGCCUGAGUGCCGGUGCGGGGGCUGGUAGCACCCAAGGCCACGCCCUCCCCUCCCCGUCCUGGGACACCUGCACCCACGUUGUGGCCACAGCUCCCUGGCUCCACCAGCUUCUCGUGACCCCUGAGGCUCCCCAGCCCCUGGCCCGCCAUGGAGGGUUCCCUCCCCACCCCUGUGCCCACUCCUUGGGAGACUGGCAUUAGAUCUUGGCUGUGGGACAGGGUGGGCCAUUCUGGGGGUGAGACCAGGCCUCUCCCACCUGGGACCCAUCGUGGCUCUGGCCCUGGGCGGGUGACAGCCUGGCUUUCCUGUGUCCUCACCGCCUGCUCUUCAGCAAGAGAGGGAUGUGGAUGACAGGACUGCUGGCCACAGAGGGCCUGGUGUGGGCAGCCGUCAGGACGAGGGUAGUGUGGGCGGCCACAGCAGUUGGUGCUACUGCUGGAAGGGGCCGAAGGUGAGGCCCUUCUGGGCUGUGAGUCCCUGCAAGCCACUGCCCCCAUGGGGUUGCAGUCACGGAGCUGACCCGCUGCCGGGUUUCUGCCCCCUCCCUGUCCCUGCUGCUCCCCCGGCAACUGUAUCCCAAGCCUGAUGCCCUGUCGGAGGUGGCACCUCCCUGGGCACGGGCACUUGGACGCUGGUGCCUCCCCUGCUGCAGACCCCUUUGCUGUGGUCAGGGCCUCCUCCCUGCCCUGGCACCUGUGACCACAGGCCUGGUGGGGCCCUUGAUGGCCACAGAGGGCACAGGCUGGGGCCAGGAGGGCACCGUCUCCUGGGGCACAGAGAUGCUGGAGUGAGUCAUGGAAUCGUCCAUCAGCAGCAGCAAGCUUUGCUGAGCACCAGCUGUAUGCAGAGCACCAGCUGUAUGCAGAGCACCGGCUGUAUGCAGAGCAAAGUUCCCACAGCUGUCUGGGGGCCUCCCCUGGUGCCUGGUUGAGCUGCAGGGGGAGAUAUGUGUGGACACUGCAACCCUCCCGAAGCUGGGCCUGGAAGAAGUGACUUCCCCAGAACCUUAUCUGGGCCACAGAAGGGGGUUGGAAGCGGGGGUCUUGCCGCCCUCCCGUCCUCUGCAUGCCAGGCGUGACCUGGGGCAGGGCCAGGGCAGGCUGCCUGGACACCAUGGACCUGCCCGGCUGUAGGGGAGAUGUGUCCUGCAACCCCACCCAUGGUUCAGGCCUGUGUGGCUGAGUGGACUGAGGACAGCUGACCCCCUUGGUGACUGCCUGGGCCCAGAGGGGAGUGGUCAGCUGGGUGUGGCCAGCCCUGGGGGAAGGAUCCAGGGACUGCAUCCACUUAGGGAUAGGAGGCAGCUAGCAGAGCCCUCCCAGCUGACCAGGGGAGGCCCUGUGGUCAUAGGAGGGGCCUCAGGUGCAGGUGCAGGUGCAGGGCUGGGCGGCCCUGUGUUGCCCAGGUGGUGUGUCUUGCCCUGUUUGAUGACUGACAAAGUGCCCUUGAAUGUGUCAGACCCAGCGUGGCCCCAGGGUGGGUCCUAACCUAACGUUUCACCCCAAAUUACCCUCACCCCAGCCUAUCCCUGCCCUAAAUUCACCCCAAGCCCCCACUCAAACUCCUUGACCCCAACACUUUAACCCUAGACCCAGCCCUACACCCCAAGCCCUAAUCCCUAACCGCUAGCCUCACCCUAACCUCCCUACCGGAUGCCACCUGGUAAACAUCCUCCUGGCCGCUAUCCACCCCUCCCCCGGGGCUCCAGGAGGCAGCGGGGUCCCUGGGAGGCUGCUCCCUGCAGAACACGAUGGACAGACGCCUGGGCACCGGGCCCCAGCCCCCUCUGGCUUCAUUCAUCCUCCACAGGCACUUCCCCCUGGGCCAGAGGGCAGCCUGGCAGCCCUGGACUCCGGGAGGGCCGAGUCUGGGGAGCUGGAGGACGUCAUCUUCCACUCUUGAUGCCGCCGCCCCAGGCCUACAGUCUGGACAGCGGGACAAGCUGCCCAUUUCCUCCAUCUCCAGUAAUGAGAAGCAAAUGCUGAUCCUGGCCCGUCUCCUGGCUCCCGGGUCCCUGGGUUCCCGCUGCCCCUGCCAGUUCCCGGAAGAUGCCAGCAGGAGGGAGGGCGGUGGAGCUGGACUUGUGCCCACAACAGGAUCUGGCCAUAAACGCGGUCAGGGCGAGGCUGCGGGGUGGGCCGCUGAACCUCCUUGUGGACUUUCUUCCCCGCCCUGGCCCGCAGCUGUCAGCCCUUCCUGGGAACUGCAGCCUUUGUUUGUUCCUUGAAGGAGCUGGUGCAUUGCCUGCGAGCUCCUCUGCAGGCCUGGGGGUCCGCCUGCUGUCCACCCCCCGAAACCAGCUCCAUCCAGCAGCAGGCUGCAAGCCUGGAGAGGCCUCCAGGGGCCAGGUAGGGAAACUGAGGCCCCAAAAAGGCAGGGAACAGGUGCAGGGGGCCUGUUUGACCUGCGCUGGGACUGGGCUAGGCGAGUCGCCUCCAGGGCCCAGCCCCAUCUUGGACAGAGGAAGUUGAUAGUCAGGAAAGGCAGGAGUGGCCUCUUCUAACAAUUUCAGCUCUGCAGGGGCCGAGGGUGGCGAUGCUGACAGCAUUUCCUCCAGCUCCCACCUGCCUGCUCCAGGGAAUUCCCCACCCAGGCAUUGAUACUCACCUGGUGAUACUAAUAAUUGUCUCAGGUGACAGACUGUCUCAGCUGCUCUCCCACAUGGCCCACGGGUCCCUGGAGGUUCCCCGGAUUCUUUCAGGGGAGACCAUGGGCCCUAAACGAUCUUCAUAACAAAACUGAGAAGUGGCCUGGCUUCUUCACAGCGCUCCUGUGUGCUCAGAUCCAGCAUGGCCCGACGGGGCAGCCCCUUUCCUUCCCUGAUGCUGCUCUAGGGGGAGGAAGGGCCAGGGUCAAUCUGGGGUGCUCCAGGUGGACAGCAAACGCCCCUGAAACCAGGUGCCAGUUGUGUCCCCCUGAGAUGCCCCCACCCCAGUCUCCUGAGCCUCAUUAGUCACCCCUCAUUUUCCUUUGGGGACCCCAGGCCCUGGCUCCUGUCUGGUUAGAGGCUGAAGGGGUCUGAGCCACACCUGCCCUAGGGGACCUCCGGAGGGGUCUUGGUAUCCUCUGACUUCUGUCUCCAGAAAGGAGCUCAGAAUGCAGCUGGAGCUUCCCCCGGAGCCCAGGGUGUCCGUGUCCGAGCCACAGCCAGAGUGUGCCCUGGAGAGCCGCUGGGACACGGGUGAGCUCUCGUCAUCCUGUCCCCACUCCAGGCUCAGGCUGGAGCCGUGAUGGCACCACUGCACUCCAACCCGGGCAACAGAGUGAGACCCUGUCUCUAUAAAAUAAAAACACAAAUAAAGAAGA
Molecule: RNA transcript, 7784 nt
Organism: Cercocebus atys (sooty mangabey)
Lineage: Eukaryota; Metazoa; Chordata; Mammalia; Primates; Cercopithecidae
Exons: 5
Source: RefSeq, a predicted model, not a curated record